AUUGAACGCUAGCGGGAUGCCUUACACAUGCAAGUCGAACGGAGUGGCGAACGGGUGAGUAAUGUAUCGGCACGUGCCCAGUAGCGGUGGAUAACUACGCGAACGCGUAGCUAAUACCGCAUACUCUUGGAGCGUCCGAUCUCGGAUGAGCUAGUUGGUGGGGUAACGGCUCACCAAGGCGACGAUCCGGAGCUGGGUUGAGGGGACGACCAACCACACGGGGACGGGGAAACGGCCCAGACUCCUACGGGAGGCAGCAGUGGGUAAUUUUGGACAAUGGGGGAAACCCGGAUCCAGCCAGCCCGCGUGUGCGAUGAAGGCCUUCGGGUUUUAAAGCACUUUUGGCAGGAAAGCGGUACCUGCAGAAUAAGCACCGGCUAACUACGUGCCAGCAGCCGCGGUAAUAC
This 407-nucleotide ribosomal RNA is filed under the name uncultured bacterium. RNAcentral describes it as "partial 16S ribosomal RNA". It matches the Rfam family "Bacterial small subunit ribosomal RNA", at positions 30 to 526 of the family's 1533-position model. The record is from RNAcentral.